Molecule: ribosomal RNA, 546 nt
Filed under: fungal sp. E14423I
Lineage: Eukaryota; Fungi
Description: eukaryotic LSU rRNA
Rfam family: 5.8S ribosomal RNA (bases 185-338)
Source: RNAcentral
CGUAGGUGAACCUGCGGAGGGAUCAUUACCGAGUUUACAACUCCCAAACCCAUGUGAACAUACCUAUUGUUGCUUCGGCGGGAUUGCCCCGGGCGCCUCGUGUGCCCCGGAUCAGGCGCCCGCCUAGGAACUUUAACUCUUGUUUUAUUUUGAAUCUUCUGAGUAGUUUUUACAAAUAAAUAAAAACUUUCAACAACGGAUCUCUUGGUUCUGGCAUCGAUGAAGAACGCAGCGAAAUGCGAUAAGUAAUGUGAAUUGCAGAAUUCAGUGAAUCAUCGAAUCUUUGAACGCACAUUGCGCCCGCCAGUAUUCUGGCGGGCAUGCCUGUCUGAGCGUCAUUUCAACCCUCAUGCCCCUAGGGCGUGGUGUUGGGGAUCGGCCAAAGCCCGCGAGGGACGGCCGGCCCCUAAAUCUAGUGGCGGACCCGUCGUGGCCUCCUCUGCGAAGUAGUGAUAUUCCGCAUCGGAGAGCGACGAGCCCCUGCCGUUAAACCCCCAACUUUCCAAGGUUGACCUCAGAUCAGGUAGGAAUACCCGCUGAACUUAA